RNAcentral lists this ribosomal RNA (253 nucleotides) under uncultured bacterium. RNAcentral's name for it is "partial 16S ribosomal RNA". It matches the Rfam family "Bacterial small subunit ribosomal RNA", at positions 524 to 776 of the family's 1533-position model. The record is from RNAcentral.
UACGGAGGGGGCUAGCGUUGUUCGGAAUUACUGGGCGCAAAGCGCACGUAGGCGGCUUUGUAAGUUAGAGGUGAAAGCCCGGGGCUCAACUCCGGAAUUGCCUUUAAGACUGCAUCGCUAGAACGUCGGAGAGGUAAGUGGAAUUCCGAGUGUAGAGGUGAAAUUCGUAGAUAUUCGGAAGAACACCAGUGGCGAAGGCGACUUACUGGACGACUGUUGACGCUGAGGUGCGAAAGCGUGGGGAGCAAACAGG